ACACCGGCAGCUCUAGUGGUAGCUGUUUUUAUUGGGCCUAAAGCGUUCGUAGCCGGUUUGGUAAGUCACUGGUGAAAUCCUGUAGCUUAACUAUGAGAAUUGCUGGUGAUACUGUUGAACUUGAGGUCGGGAGAGGUUAGCGGUCCUCCCAGGGAAGAGGUGAAAUUCUGUAAUCCUGGGAGGACCACCUGUGGCGAAGGCGGCUAUCUGGAACGAACCUGACGGUGAGGGACGAAAGCUAGGGGCGCGAACCGGAUUAGAUACCCGGGUAGUCCUAGCCGUAAACGAUGCGGACUUGGUGUUGGGAUGGCUUUGAGCCGCUCCGGUGCCGAAGGGAAGCUGUUAAGUCCGCCGCCUGGGAAGUACGGUCGCAAGACUGAAACUUAAAGGAAUUGACGGGG
RNAcentral lists this ribosomal RNA (401 nucleotides) under uncultured bacterium. RNAcentral describes it as "partial 16S ribosomal RNA". It matches the Rfam family "Archaeal small subunit ribosomal RNA", at positions 473 to 873 of the family's 1478-position model. The record is from RNAcentral.